AAAGUGGAGGAGGAAAUGCUAGGGAGAUGGACUUCGAGAGUUCCUUGACUUUGUUCUUGCCUUAGAAAACAAGGAUACUCCAGAAGGGUUGACAUAUUUAUUUCAUUGUCUGGACCUUCAUGGUCGGGGAUUCCUUACGACUGCUGACAUUCACUCUCUUUUCAGGUAAAGAAAUCAUGCAGAUUAACUUGUAGGUUUCAAUAGGGGGUUAAUAAUUUUUCUCACUAGUCAUUCUAGGUUGUUCUUAAAAGAAAAAUAUUGAAAUGUCACUUUUUAUCUUAAAAGAAAAAACACAAGUAUUGAAAUGUAGCAUUUUUCUUGGCAAGAUAUAAAGUUUAAGCUGCAUAUGGAAGUAACGAAGGGGAACAUCCAAAAGCUGAGAUGUUACCUGAUACAAUCUUCCUAUAGAAAACUCUGAACUUCCUGCUUCUAGUACUUGAGCUAGU
RNAcentral lists this long non-coding RNA (446 nucleotides) under Carica papaya (papaya). RNAcentral's name for it is "long non-coding RNA (CPAP_LNC011435)". The stretch from base 361 to 446 matches the Rfam family "Small nucleolar RNA snoR104", at positions 1 to 88 of the family's 118-position model. The record is from RNAcentral. Lineage: Eukaryota; Viridiplantae; Streptophyta; Magnoliopsida; Brassicales; Caricaceae.